UACGUAGGGAGCAAGCGUUGCUCGGAUUUACUGGGCGUAAAGGGCGCGUAGGCGGCGCGACAAGUCACUUGUGAAAUCUCCGGGCUUAACUCGGAACGGUCAAGUGAAACUGUCAUGCUAGAGUGCAGAAGGGGCAAUCGGAAUUCUUGGUGUAGCGGUGAAAUGCGUAGAUAUCAAGAGGAACACCUGAGGUGAAGACGGGUUGCUGGGCUGACACUGACGCUGAGGCGCGAAAGCCAGGGGAGCAAACGGG
Molecule: ribosomal RNA, 253 nt
Filed under: uncultured bacterium
Lineage: Bacteria
Description: partial 16S ribosomal RNA
Rfam family: Bacterial small subunit ribosomal RNA
Source: RNAcentral